Molecule: ribosomal RNA, 657 nt
Filed under: Cryptopleura ramosa
Lineage: Eukaryota; Rhodophyta; Florideophyceae; Ceramiales; Delesseriaceae
Description: eukaryotic LSU rRNA
Rfam family: Eukaryotic large subunit ribosomal RNA
Source: RNAcentral
UAUUGGGUCAAAUUGAUUUGGGGGAGUGCUGCUGUUCAACGGGGUGAUUCCCGUGUACUCAGUGCAUUUUCUUACCCGUCGUGUGCUUUGGAUGGUCGAUUUUGGGCUGUCUGGGGCUGAGGGAUCCCCUUUUAUAGGGUGAAGACGAUGGGGCGCUGACACGAUACGACCCGUCUUGAAACACGGACCAAGGAGUUCAGCAUGUGUGCGAGUCAAAGGGUGAUUAAACCUGGGGGCGCAGUGAAAGCAACUUUUGUGUAAGGGAAUCCAACAUUAAGCAGUUUCAGGCGGCAUACGAUCGUUGAUUGUAGGACUGACCUAGAGCACAUGUGCUGAGACCCGAAAGAUGGUGAACUAUGCCGGAGUAGGGCGAAGCCAGAGGAAACUCUGGUGGAGGCUCGUAGCGGUGCUGACGUGCAAAUCGCUCGUCUGACUCGGGUAUAGGGGCGAAAGACUAAUCGAACCAUCUAGUAGCUGGUUUCCUCCGAAGUUUCUCUCAGGAUAGCAGGCCGACGAAUAAGCAUGAAGUCUCAGUUGUUGUGUGCGGUAAAGCGAAUGAUUAGCGUAUUUGGGGGUGAUUAGCCUUCAGACGAUUCUCAAACUUUAAAUGCGCACGGAUGUUGCCGCUUGGGUGGGCGGUAUCAAUUAAAAAACGUC